RNAcentral lists this small RNA (2409 nucleotides) under Pyricularia oryzae. RNAcentral's name for it is "Magnaporthe oryzae sRNA M_BR32_EuGene_00080811". The record is from RNAcentral. Lineage: Eukaryota; Fungi; Ascomycota; Sordariomycetes; Magnaporthales; Pyriculariaceae.
UUUUUAGGAAUUUAAAAUUCGAAAUAAGGCGCGCGUUAUUGGAAACGAAACGUAUUACGUUUUUAAACGACCCGUUACCGGAUAAACCACGUGGGAAUAACGACAAUUACCGUUUCGCACAAAAGCGGGCAAUGUAAUAAUGGAGGAGGUUAAAACUAUUAUUUUUUUUUUUGUUUUUGGUAUGGCGUUUUUAUAUAUAAUAUAUUUUUAGGCAAUUUAUUUGCUAAUUCGGCAAUUUUGGAAUAAUUUCAACGAACAAAUAUUUUAACGAUAUUGUCCGGAACGUUAAUUUUAACCAAAUUUGGUUUGAUUUUUGUGGUAAAAACCCCAAAAAAUUUAAAACGAUAAAUUAUUGCAAAUGGUUUUUCGAAAAUUAGAUCGAAAAUUCCGAACGACAAAUUUUGUCGAUUAAAUCGGAAAACCAUUCCGAACGAUCGGUAAAACGGAAUUUGACGGUCCUAUAUUUAUGGAGGAUUUUUGUAACGGUAACCGACAAUACCAUUUUUUAUCGAAAUCGGCAAAUCGUUACCGAUUAUAAUUUUAAUUUGUGGACUUUAAUAUAUAUAAACGGCAAAACGCGGCGUGGAUCGGGCCCAAUUAGCGAUAUUAUAAACGUAAAUCCUAUACUUUUUUUUUUCUGGUUUGUUAAUUCGUUUGUCCACCCAUGGUCCUGUUUAUUGGUGUUUAACGCCUAUAACCAUAUAAUCCACGACAAUGGAUUGUCGUAAAAUCAUUUGCGAUUUACAAUUUCGUUCGGGAGCAAAUAUUCGUCAAAAUCGCGGCAAUUUCCACAAAUAUUAUUGUAUUUUUAACGGCGUUUUGGACGAAAGCGAAACAUAUUUUUUGCAAACGCCAAAAUCGAAUCGACCUCCACAAAAUAAUGCUGUUAAUAUUUUUGGGCGGGUUCCGACCCGGUAUUAUUAUUAAAUUAAAAUAUAAACAAAUUAAGGUAAAUUUGGUCCGAAAUCCACAAUUAAUUAAAAAAAAAAUUCCUCGUUGCAAUAUUAUUAUCCAAUAAAAUAAACGGAUUUAAAAAAAAAUUCGCAUUUUUUAAAAUAAAAAGUAAAUAAUAUUUUUAAUAUGUGUUUUUUUAUUGUUUUUUGUUCCAGGGGACCUACCGUUAUUACGCGCUAAUAUUUUUAACGAUAAAAUUAAAAUUCCAUUAUAUUUUACAAACGACCUAUUUUUUUGUUUUUUAACCUUUUUUUUAUCGCAGGUUAUCGCAAAUAAUAUUUUCGCCGCCAAUAAUUCGAUAACGUUUUUGGAAAAUUUAAAACAAUUUAGGAAAAUUAAAUACGUUAAAUUUCCCUGGAAAAAAAAAUAUUCGAUCGGGAAAUUAUUUAAAUAAAUUAUACCACCCUGUUAAAAUUUUGGAAAUUUUUGGUUAAUAUAAUUAAUUAUCGUAAUCCAAUACGCCCGUAUUUAAUGCAAAUAGGCGCAGGCGGCCGUUUCGAUAAUAAAUGCAAUUGCUCCCGUCCUUAUUAUUAUAUUAAUUAAAAUUUUAAAAUCUUUUAAAUUUGCCCAACGAAAUUAUAUAUUUUUACAUUCCACUUUUAUAUUUAAUAAAAAUUACCGAUUUAGGAAUUUGGGUUAUAAUUUAUUAACGAUUACGUUCCUUAAUUAUAUUAGGGGUAAUAUAACCGAAAAAUUGCCGGAAUUUAUACGUAAUACGUUUUUUAUAUGGAACGAAAAUACCCCAAUAUACCCUACCCAAAAAACCUCGAUUUUUUUAAAAAGAAUUUUCGCAUCCGUAUUUACCGUAACGAAUAUACCAAUUUUAAAAAUAAUUGUUUUCCAAAAAUUAAAAAACAGGCCAACCGUAUUUAGUCGCAAAUAAACAAAUCGAUCGAUAUUUUGUGCGCCCGCGCAAUGGAAAAAAGGAAAAAUAAAUUUUGGAAAAAAAUCGAUUAACGUAAUGCAAAGGGCAAAGGAACAAACGAUUUUUAAACCGAAUAUAUUAGCCCUCGGAAAACCCGGCACUAAAAUUUAAUUAUACCAACUAUAUAAAUUGGUUAAAUUUUAAACAAAAAUAAUAUUGGAUCCAACGUUUUUAACAAUUUAUUAAUUAUUUUUUUCAAAUGCAAAAAUUGCGAUAUUAAAAUAUUAUUGGGCGAAAAUAUCGGUUUAUAAUAAUCCAUACAGGUGCCGGGAUCGACCUGUUUUUUAUACAAAAUUACGUUUAUAAAACGGAAAAACCUAACGCGGUAUAAUACCAACAUUUAUUAAAUUUAAUUCCAGCGGCCUUUUAAUUGCCCCAAUUGCAAAAACCAAUGCGUUAUUAACGGUAUUGCAAAUUGGAAAUAUUAUAUUAUUAUAUUCCAUGGUAAAUAUAAUGUUCCACGAUGGCCUUCGUCGAAAAAAACCGUUACGACGACGACGUUAAUUAUAUGUAACCGGUUGGAUAUAUUA